Non-coding RNA from Danio rerio (zebrafish), 116 nucleotides. The record is from Rfam. NCBI's taxonomy places the organism in Eukaryota, Metazoa, Chordata, Actinopteri, Cypriniformes, Danionidae.
CCGUGAGCAGCUAGCUCUCUGCAACUCUCACAUGGUCGCCCACUGAAGCUAAGCAGGGCUGCGCCCGGUCAGUACCUGGAUGGGAGACCACAUGGGAAAGCUAGGUUGCUGCCGGA